GGGUUGAAGCCACCACCUCCCGUUCUCCUCACAGUGUGGAAAAUACCCAAACGCGCUUAAGGGAAAAAAAAAAAAACAACCAACAAACCACCAGAACACCCGAGGAUUGAUUUAUCUUCAGAGCUGGAAUAGCGCGGGGAAGAAGCCAUCGCCGCUCGUUUUGCUCCCCACGACAACCUGCCCGCCAUUCCGUUAAUUAAAAGCAUGUACUUGAUGUGCUCAGAGGUGGCAAUACCGUUAAAAAAACCCAAAAAAACCCAAACCAGUAACAUCCAAACGCUCGUUGUUGGAGGCUGCAGCCAAGGGAAAUAGAGGAUUGUUUGUCUGACCCCUCUCCGCAGCAGAUACCUCCUUUGUAAGUGUUGUAGUUGCGUAGGGAUGUCGGAGCCAGCCGGGCAGUGGGAUCUGGCCUGGGUUGUGUAAGCGUGUGUCGCACACGGGCCACAGAAACCCACAAUGUUUCUGUGGUUACCGCCGCCUGGAGAAGCACAAGCAGGUCCCAGGGCUUCCCCUUCCCACUGCUUGCUAGUUCACAAAAAGCAAAGGCUGGUGCUUCUGGAAAAAACUCUGCCUCGUGGCCUUUAAAAAAAAAAUAAAGAAAAACUGCUGCGGAUUAGUCAUCCUUAUUUUUAAAGGAAGCCGUGUUUGCCAGCCCUAUCUGUGUAAUGCGUGUGUGUGUGAGAUAUUCACCAUUAGCUGUAUUUGCGAGGGCUGGUAACGUGCUCUGGUCACUGUGCUUUGGAGCAGUGCCACCGAGGCUCCCUCGAGCUGCUGCUGGCAGGUGGAAAAAAACUGACAAUCCAGCUUUUUGUAACCUUUCCUUCCAUUUUUCUUUUUCAGUGUGUUGGCAGGUGUGGAAAUGUGGAAAUUCGUAGGAACGCUAAGCAAGGACGGAUGACCUGUCUUCUGGAGGCACUUCCAACUCCAGAGAAGAAACCCUGAUGAAAAAGAAAUUUAUAUUUCUUUUUCUUGCCUGUGGUAGCUUUUACUCUGAGCUGCACUGCCUCUUGCGAAGGGCUGACGCCGGAGGGAGCGUUGCGAUGGACCUAAAUUGUGUUGGUGAAGAUCAGAGUCCCCUUGAACUUGCUCCUGUGAGAUGCUGCUGGUUUAUUACUCGAUUCCUCAAAGCCCUGCUCGCUCACCGGGCAGAAGGAAAACACUUCCUUACUGGCUGCAGUUCCUUUUCUUGUGUGGCAAAAGGUAAUAAAAAGCACCUGGCGCUGGGCUCUCCUCGGUCACACGUGACUUCGAGGCGCGGAGCCCUCGAAGGCGCGCGAGGAGUGUUAGGUACCAGCUCCUUCUCGUUAGCCUCCCUUAAUGAGAAUAUUGGCAGGGGUGUUGGGUGGAUGCCUCUGGCUGACCAGCGGAGAGGCCCUGCCCUGCUAAACUGGAGCAACACCUUAUGA
This 1406-nucleotide long non-coding RNA is filed under the name Calidris pygmaea (Spoon-billed sandpiper). Its description in RNAcentral is "lncRNA (ENSCPGG00000000313.1)". Lineage: Eukaryota; Metazoa; Chordata; Aves; Charadriiformes; Scolopacidae. The record is from RNAcentral.